AAACGUGAUUUUUAAAAAAUGUUUAUCUUUGUGUUUCGAUUUAAAAAUUAAGAAUAGAAAACCUCUCGAAAUUUUAUUACGGGAGUCACUUCACGGUGAAAUGACAACCGUAAUAGGCACGGUGAAAGUGAUUCCCAUUUGAUUUGCACGCGUCUUUUUUCACCGUGAGAUUUCUUCACUUCGUGCUCACCGUGAGGUGACAUCCGUAAUAAGCCCCUAGGUCCUGAAUCUACUCUUCAUCCUUGACUGGGAGAGGCUACUGAAAAUAAUCGGCAAGAAAUGAAAAAAGUGAUAAAAAAUCGAAACGACGAGAUAAAUUACGGUUUGGAGAGGGUUUAAGCAAGCAUCCACUUUUACUGCUUGUGGAAAGCUGGAUUAGUUGCAUUUUCAUUUACAACCUUUCGAGUUGCUGCUCGUGAGCUUCUUUCGCUGACAUCCGAUUUCGUCGAUCGCAUGCUCGCAUGUCGAUCGUGUAUCCCGGUGCAGUAUUCGCAGUAUUCAAUAGACUCAAUGAUGCUAGAUUAGAUGACAUGUUUUCAAUUUGAAGACAUCUAAUUAGGUGUGACUGAAAAGUGAAGACCGUGAAGACAUCCUGGUGACCUGGUGGUAACCUUUUUUUUGCUCACCAUCUUCCGGUUGGCCGUAUUAAUUUUUUGAACCAAGGGACAUUUUAAAAAUAAGCCAUUUGUUAAAAAUUUGCCAUUUGUAAAAAAAAUGACCUGGCAUCUCUGCGUCACAUUUUCAACAUCGAUUUCCGACAGUCGACUAACGUUUUUAUUCACUUCAGAAAUAUUACCUGUCGUUGCUGUUCAUAUUUAACCCGUACCUAUACAAAUUAGCAUAUUCAGGGUGUUUAGCUCCAUAUUUUUAAUCAUGUUACCAAGCUUAUAGCCGAAAUCUGGACGGUACGAAACUAUAAUGGCGAAUACAAAUUCAACUAUUCACAAUUUUCAAUGCAUGUCAAUGAAAUUAGUGCGUGGAAACGUUAUAAUUGAUACAAUGUAGAGAUAUUGCAACUAUAAUAACAAUAA
Long non-coding RNA from Wyeomyia smithii (pitcher-plant mosquito), 1031 nucleotides. RefSeq lists it as uncharacterized. The record is from RefSeq and is a predicted model, not a curated record. NCBI's taxonomy places the organism in Eukaryota, Metazoa, Arthropoda, Insecta, Diptera, Culicidae. The transcript is spliced from 3 exons.